AUUGAACGCUGGCGGCAUGCCUUACACAUGCAAGUCGAACGGCAGCACGGGAGCAAUCCUGGUGGCGAGUGGCGAACGGGUGAGUAAUGUAUCGGAACGUACCUUUCAGUGGGGGAUAACGUAGCGAAAGUUACGCUAAUACCGCAUAUUCUGUGAGCAGGAAAGCAGGGGAUCGCAAGACCUUGCGCUGAUUGAGCGGCCGAUAUCAGAUUAGCUAGUUGGUGAGGUAAAGGCUCACCAAGGCGACGAUCUGUAGCGGGUCUGAGAGGAUGAUCCGCCACACUGGAACUGAGACACGGUCCAGACUCCUACGGGAGGCAGCAGUGGGGAAUUUUGGACAAUGGGCGCAAGCCUGAUCCAGCCAUGCCGCGUGAGUGAAGAAGGCCUCGGUUGUAAGACGUCUUCUAGCCGGAGAAACGACGANGGUUAAGUACCGUACGUGUGGAGUGACGGUACCGGAA
RNAcentral lists this ribosomal RNA (461 nucleotides) under uncultured bacterium. RNAcentral's name for it is "bacterial SSU rRNA". It matches the Rfam family "Bacterial small subunit ribosomal RNA", at positions 30 to 483 of the family's 1533-position model. The record is from RNAcentral.